This 968-nucleotide non-coding RNA is filed under the name Oreobates barituensis. RNAcentral's name for it is "partial 12S ribosomal RNA". It matches the Rfam family "Bacterial small subunit ribosomal RNA". The record is from RNAcentral. Lineage: Eukaryota; Metazoa; Chordata; Amphibia; Anura; Strabomantidae.
GAAUCUCAAAUUUCCUUUAAACACAAAGGCUUGGUCCCAGCCUUAAAGUCAGUUAUUACUUAACUUACACAUGCAAGUCUCCGCACCCCAGUGAAAACGCCCUUACACCCUUCAUUAGGGAAAGGAGCUGGUAUCAGGCACAGUAGUUUGCCCAAGACACCUAGCCACGUCACACCCACAAGGGUCUUCAGCAGUGAUAAACAUUGAAAAUAAGUGUCAACUUGAUUCAGUUAGAGUAAAUAGAGUCGGCAAAUUUGGUGCCAGCCGCCGCGGUUACACCACAGGACUCAAAUUGAUUUUCUACCGGCGUAAAAUGUGAUUUAAGUCACCUUCACCACUAGAGUUGAACUAAUACUAAGUCGUAAUAAGCUUGUUAUAAGAAAAUCAUACACGAAAGUUACUCUACCCCCCUUCCACUUGAACUCACGAAAAUUUGGGCACAAACUAGGAUUAGAUACCCUACUAUGCCUUAUAGUAAACUUUAACUUACACCUAAAUCGCCAGGGAACUACGAGCUAAGCUUAAAACCCAAAGGACUUGACGGUACCCUACAUCCUUCUAGAGGAGCCUGUCCCAUAAUCGAUAAUCCCCGUUUAACCUCACCACUUUUAGCCAAUCAGCCUGUAUACUUCCGUCGUCAGCUUACCGCAUGAGCGUAUACCCUAGUAAGCCUAAUGUUUAACCAUCAAUACGUCAGGUCAAAGUGCAGCAAAUAAAGUGGAAAAAAGAUGGGCUACACUUUCUAUGAUAGAAGAUACGAAAGAUUAACAUGAAACCCUAAUCAGAAGGUGGAUUUAGCAGUAAAAAGAAAAUAGAAUAUUCUUUUUAACUCGGCACUGGGGUGUGUACAUACCGCCCGUCACCCUCUUCAUUAAACAAUAAUUAGUAAAUAACAAGUCCACUCCAAGAAGAAGAGGCAAGUCGUAACAUGGUAAGUGUAUCUGAAGAUGCACUUGGAAACGAAAUAU